Non-coding RNA from Schizophyllum amplum, 98 nucleotides. The record is from the annotation of a GenBank genome assembly. Lineage: Eukaryota; Fungi; Basidiomycota; Agaricomycetes; Agaricales; Schizophyllaceae.
GCAUCAGUGGUGUAACGGUAACAUUGGAGCUUCCCAUCAUUGGGUUGCCGCAAGGCAAUACAAUGCUCUAGCCUCGGGUUCGACUCCCGGCUGAUGCA